This is a long non-coding RNA of Coffea arabica (coffee), 776 nucleotides long. RefSeq lists it as uncharacterized. NCBI's taxonomy places the organism in Eukaryota, Viridiplantae, Streptophyta, Magnoliopsida, Gentianales, Rubiaceae. The record is from RefSeq and is a predicted model, not a curated record.
GCUAUCUAAACGGUGGAAAAGAAAAGGAGUGGAAUUUGUGUGAUAGUUGGGCGGUGCAUGAUUGUUAUUUGGACAGCUGCCAGAUGAACUUGCCACCGAAAUUGUUGAGUAGGCAGUGACCGAACGAGAGUUUGGAUUGAUUAGCACCGAAUGAGGAAGCUUGAGUGGUCGGCUGAUUGAAGGAAAUAAGUCGAAUUCUCUUCUUAUCAACCAAGCAGUAGAAACAAAACCGAGAGAGAGAGUUUCGGUCAUAACCAUUCAUUCCAAAACACCACCGAGUGAGAAACAUUUCUGGUUCUUCAUUGCUCCAAGUCUGCACCCGAGAGAGCGUAAGGGAGAAAGAGUGAAUCAUUUCCUAUUACCAAGCCAACCAACAGAGAGUUGAGAGGGGGGAAGGACUGCAGCUGUUUGGCGUGCAAACUAGAGGCAGCGGGGGGAGCAAGAAGAGAGAAAUCUGGUGCGAUUCUUUGAGGAGCAGAGGGAGGAAACUGUCCACAUUUUUCCAGCUGAGAUUGUCUGCAAAAGGGAGGAAGUAGCUGUGAGUCAGGAAGCAAAUGCGAGGCUCGCGAAUAGUUCAUUGGCUCCUGAAUAGUUCAUUUGGAUAUUUGGAGUUGGAGGUCGGGGAUCGAACGAGGGAAUUUGGGGAUUUAUCGUGAAGACUUUAGCCUUGUGAUUAGUAUCUUAAUAAGGUAGGAAUAUUGUAUCAUCAAGGUAUUGUAAAAGAAUGUGAACGGUUGGUUUUGGUUUAUCAAAAUGUUAUCUCUGGAGUUAAUGUA